This 77-nucleotide transfer RNA is filed under the name Alicyclobacillus tolerans. Its description in RNAcentral is "tRNA-Arg". It matches the Rfam family "tRNA". Rfam says of the family: Transfer RNA (tRNA) molecules are approximately 80 nucleotides in length. Their secondary structure includes four short double-helical elements and three loops (D, anti-codon, and T loops). RNAcentral also lists the same sequence under 6 other names. The record is from RNAcentral. Lineage: Bacteria; Bacillati; Bacillota; Bacilli; Caryophanales; Alicyclobacillaceae.
GUGCCCGUAGCUCAGCUGGAUAGAGCGCUUGACUACGAAUCAAGAGGUCGGGAGUUCGAAUCUCUCCGGGCACGCCA